RNAcentral lists this ribosomal RNA (447 nucleotides) under uncultured bacterium. RNAcentral describes it as "bacterial SSU rRNA". It matches the Rfam family "Bacterial small subunit ribosomal RNA", at positions 355 to 825 of the family's 1533-position model. The record is from RNAcentral.
UGGGGAAUAUUGGACAAUGGGCGCAAGCCUGAUCCAGCCAUGCCGCGUGAGUGACGAAGGCCUUAGGGUUGUAAAGCUCUUUUGGCGGGGAAGAUAAUGACGGUACCCGCAGAAUAAGCUCCGGCUAACUUCGUGCCAGCAGCCGCGGUAAUACGAAGGGAGCUAGCGUUGUUCGGAAUCACUGGGCGUAAAGCGCACGUAGGUGGGCAGUUAAGUCAGGGGUGAAAGCCCGAGGCUCAACCUCGGAAUUGCCUCUGAUACUGGCUGUCUAGAGUUCGAGAGAGGUGAGUGGAAUUCCUAGUGUAGAGGUGAAAUUCGUAGAUAUUAGGAAGAACACCGGUGGCGAAGGCGGCCACCUGGUUGGAUACUGACGCUGAGACGCGAAAGCGUGGGGAGCAAACAGGAUUAGAUACCCAUGUAGUCCCUGAGCGGGCUGGCAAGGCGCAU